GACGAACGCUGGCGGCGUGCUUAACACAUGCAAGUCGAACGGAAAGGCCCCUUUGGGGGGACUCGAGUGGCGAACGGGUGAGUAACAGUGGAGUAACCUUCCCUUUACUUUUGGAUAACUUCAGGAAAGUGGGGCUAAUACCGGAUAGGCAUCCUUGGUGCUUGGUGUGGGUGGGGAAGCUUCGGGGGUUUUGGGUGGACUCGCGGCUCAUCAGCUUGUUGGUGGGGUAGUGGGUUACCAAGGCUUUGACGGGUAGCCGGCCUGCUAGGGCGACCGGCCACAUUGGGACUGAGAUACGGCCCAGACUCCUACGGGAGGCAGCAGGGGGGAAUAUUGCACAAUGGGCGGAGGCCUGAUGCAGCAACGCCGCGUGCGGGAUGACGGCCUUCGGGUUGUAAACCGCUUUCAGCAGGGGCGAAGCUUGUGGUGACGGUACCUGCAGAAGAAGCACCGGCUAACUACGUG
RNAcentral lists this ribosomal RNA (465 nucleotides) under uncultured bacterium. Its description in RNAcentral is "partial 16S ribosomal RNA". It matches the Rfam family "Bacterial small subunit ribosomal RNA", at positions 28 to 507 of the family's 1533-position model. The record is from RNAcentral.